RNAcentral lists this transfer RNA (71 nucleotides) under Anaerolineae bacterium. Its description in RNAcentral is "tRNA-Gly". It matches the Rfam family "tRNA". Rfam says of the family: Transfer RNA (tRNA) molecules are approximately 80 nucleotides in length. Their secondary structure includes four short double-helical elements and three loops (D, anti-codon, and T loops). The record is from RNAcentral. Lineage: Bacteria; Bacillati; Chloroflexota; Anaerolineae.
GCGGCAUUGGUGUAACGGUAACGCACUGGCUUCCCAAGCCAGGAAUACGGGUUCGAUUCCCGUAUGCCGCU